RNAcentral lists this ribosomal RNA (275 nucleotides) under uncultured prokaryote. Its description in RNAcentral is "partial 16S ribosomal RNA". It matches the Rfam family "Bacterial small subunit ribosomal RNA", at positions 524 to 800 of the family's 1533-position model. The record is from RNAcentral.
UACGUAGGGGCGAGCGUUAUCCGGAAUUAUUGGGCGUAAAGGGUUCGCAGGCGGCCUUGUAAGUCAGAUGUGAAAGACAGCGGCUUAACCGUUGUAAGCAUUUGAAACUGCAGGGCUUGAGUACAGGAGAGGAAAGCGGAAUUCCUAGUGUAGCGGUGAAAUGCGUAGAUAUUAGGAGGAACACCAGUGGCGAAGGCGGCUUUCUGGACUGAUACUGACGCUGAGGAACGAAAGCGUGGGGAGCAAACAGGAUUAGAUACCCGGGUAGUCCCUGA